RNAcentral lists this long non-coding RNA (216 nucleotides) under Elaeis guineensis (African oil palm). Its description in RNAcentral is "long non-coding RNA (EGUI_LNC064313)". Lineage: Eukaryota; Viridiplantae; Streptophyta; Magnoliopsida; Arecales; Arecaceae. The record is from RNAcentral.
AAUUUUUUGAAACCCAGAAUAAUUCUGUAGUUCCUCAACCAGUCUUUAAAAUUGGAUCCAGUCAAUCUGUGGGUGUCUAGUAUUUUGGUCAGGGGGUUAGAGGUAGACAUGUUUCCUGUAGAGAGUCGAAAGUUUCUAGUUAGAUUUUGUAAUCAGACUUAACCAAUUUAUUUAGGAGUUUUAUUUUUAAACAAAUUAGGCUCUCACUAUUUUUUC